ACGGGUGAGUAAUGCUUAGGAAUCUGCCCAGUAGUGGGGGACAACAGUCGGAAACGGCUGCUAAUACCGCAUACGCCCUACGGGGGAAAGCGGGGGAUCUUCGGACCUUGCGCUAUUGGAUGAGCCUAAGUCGGAUUAGCUAGUUGGUGGGGUAAAGGCCUACCAAGGCGACGAUCCGUAGCUGGUCUGAGAGGAUGAUCAGCCACAUCGGGACUGAGACACGGCCCGAACUCCUACGGGAGGCAGCAGUGGGGAAUAUUGGACAAUGGGGGCAACCCUGAUCCAGCCAUGCCGCGUGUGUGAAGAAGGCUUUCGGGUUGUAAAGCACUUUCAGCGAGGAGGAAGGCCUUAAAGUUAAUACCUUUAAGGAUUGACGUUACUCGCAGAAGAAGCACCGGCUAACUCCGUGCCAGCAGCCGCGGUAAUACGGAGGGUGCAAGCGUUAAUCGGAAUUACUGGGCGUAAAGCGCGCGUAGGUGGUUUGGUAAGCGAGAUGUGAAAGCCCCGGGCUUAACCUGGGAACGGCAUUUCGAACUGUCAGAAUAGAGUGUGGUAGAGGGUAGUGAAUUCCUGUGU
This 576-nucleotide ribosomal RNA is filed under the name uncultured bacterium. Its description in RNAcentral is "bacterial SSU rRNA". It matches the Rfam family "Bacterial small subunit ribosomal RNA", at positions 102 to 674 of the family's 1533-position model. The record is from RNAcentral.